This is a long non-coding RNA of Daphnia magna, 681 nucleotides long. RefSeq lists it as uncharacterized. The transcript has 4 exons. Lineage: Eukaryota; Metazoa; Arthropoda; Branchiopoda; Diplostraca; Daphniidae. The record is from RefSeq and is a predicted model, not a curated record.
AGUUGUCCGUUUAUUUAGCAAAUAAAUAAACAACUUGUACUGCCAUGUAGCGAUUUCGAUAGACGACGCCUUCAAGGGAGGAGGAGUCUACAACAUAUUGAAUUUAUCGAUCGAUUGUUAGGCCGAUUUCGAUCAGCAUUGUAUAGUUAAUGAAUGACAACUUGACGAGAUCUUGACACGCACGUUGGAAGUGUACGCGUGUUUGCACCUCGAUGAGCGUUGCACAAUAACAAAGCUCCGUUGGUGAGCGUAUUGAUUAAUAAAGCUAGGUGAAGUCCUUGAGUGCCUCAAGGACUUUGUUUUGUUUUAGCAGUAUUUUUUCCUUCAACAAUUAAUCUUGCAUCUCCAACCAUGGAAUGAGUUACAUGUGACUCGAGACAAACAAACAGUGCAAUUGCAACAAUAUAAUUAGUCAGCGAUAUAAAUUUGCCAUAUCUUCAUGCCAACCACAAGGAUUCUGCUUUUGCACACACCUUCAUUAUUAAUGUGUUUCUUCAGGUAUGGUCACUAUCAGUAGCUUUACACACAGUGUGCAUCGUGAAUACAUCAAUCCCAGAGAAAACAUUCCAAUGGAAAAUAUUGAGAAUUUCUGCCCUUCUAUCCUGAACUAAACAAUGCUGGGAGAUUGGUUAUCUCUUCACAGAGAUGAGUCAUCCGCUCCUUGGACAACGCUGCGAUCGU